UACGGUAAUGAUGGCAAGAAGGUCACACCUGUUCCCAUCCCGAACACAGAAGUUAAGCUUCUUAGCGCCGAUUGUAGUGAAGGGUUUCCCUUUGUGAGAGUAGGACGUCGCCGUGC
This is a ribosomal RNA of Jeotgalibaca sp. PTS2502, 116 nucleotides long. The record is from Rfam. Lineage: Bacteria; Bacillati; Bacillota; Bacilli; Lactobacillales; Carnobacteriaceae.